RNAcentral lists this ribosomal RNA (468 nucleotides) under uncultured bacterium. Its description in RNAcentral is "partial 16S ribosomal RNA". It matches the Rfam family "Bacterial small subunit ribosomal RNA", at positions 28 to 507 of the family's 1533-position model. The record is from RNAcentral.
GAUGAACGCUGGCGGCGUGCUUAACACAUGCAAGUCGAACGGAAAGGCGCUGCUUUUGUGGGGUGCUCGAGUGGCGAACGGGUGAGUAACACGUGAGUAACCUGCCCUUGACUUUGGGAUAACUUCACGAAACUGGGGCUAUUAUCGGAUAGGAUCUUCUGCUGCAUGGUGGGCGUUGGAAAGUUUCGGCGGUUGUGGAUGGACUCGCGGCUUAUCAGCUUGUUGGUGGGGUAGUGGCUUACCAAGGCUUUGACGGCUAGCCGGCCUGGGAGGGUGACCGGGGACAUUAGGACUAAGAGACGGAGCAGAAUGCAACGGGAGGCAGCAGUGGGGAGCAUUGCACAAUGAGCGGACGCGUGAUGCGACAACGCUGCGUGCGUAAUGACGGCCUUUGGGUUGUAAACCGCUUUCGCCUGUGACGAAGCGUGAGUGACGGUAAUGGGUAAAGAAGCACCGGCUAACUACGUG